CAACAUAACAACCCAACCCACUAGACGACAGCAAAACAAUGUAUGUAUUUUGACAGAUUGCCACUCACAAAACCAAGCCACAAAGACCAAAACUUCACAUGUACAGUGAUACACCUGUUGCUGAGUGACUGAUCUAGUGAGGUGGCCAGCUCCACGGCUUUGGUUUCUGUAGACGAGUCCAGAAACACCAUCAUUUUGGCAGCUGCAGGAGAAGAGAGGAAGAAGAAAGGGGGAAGAGAGAGAGGAAGAAGAGAGAGGGGAAAGAAGAGAGAGAGGAAAGAAGAGAGAGAGGAAAGAAGAGAGAGAGGAAAGAAGAGAGAGAGGAAAGAAGAGAGAGAGGAAAGAAGAGUAGGAAGAAGAGAGAGAGGAAGAGAGAGAGGGAAGAAGAGAGAGAGGAAGAAGAGAGAGAGGAAGAAGAGAGAGGGAAGAAGAGAGAGAGCAAGAAGAGAGAGAGCAAGAAGAGAGAGAGCAAGAAGAGAGAGAGGAAGAAGAGAGAGAGCAAGAAGAGAGAGAGCAAGAAGAGAGAGGGUAGAAGAGAGAGAGGAAGAAGAGAGAGAGCAAGAAGAGAGAGAGGGUAGAAGAGAGAGGGGGGAAGAAGAGAGAGGGUAGAAGAGAGGGGGAAGAAGAGAGAGAGGGUAGAAGAGAGGGGGAAGAAGAGAGAGAGGGGUAGAAGAGAGGGGGAAGAAGAGAGGGGGAAGAAGAGAGAGAGG
Long non-coding RNA from Oncorhynchus tshawytscha (Chinook salmon), 710 nucleotides. Lineage: Eukaryota; Metazoa; Chordata; Actinopteri; Salmoniformes; Salmonidae. The record is from Ensembl.